RNAcentral lists this ribosomal RNA (497 nucleotides) under uncultured bacterium. RNAcentral describes it as "partial 16S ribosomal RNA". It matches the Rfam family "Bacterial small subunit ribosomal RNA", at positions 28 to 507 of the family's 1533-position model. The record is from RNAcentral.
GAUGAACGCUGGCGGCGUGCCUAAUACAUGCAAGUCGAGCGAACAGAUGAGGAGCUUGCUCCUCUGACGUUAGCGGCGGACGGGUGAGUAACACGUGGAUAACCUACCUAUAAGACUGGGAUAACUUCGGGAAACCGGAGCUAAUACCGGAUAAUAUAUUGAACCGCAUGGUUCAAUAGUGAAAGACGGUUUUGCUGUCACUUAUAGAUGGAUCCGCGCCGCAUUAGCUAGUUGGUAAGGUAACGGCUUACCAAGGCAACGAUGCGUAGCCGACCUGAGAGGGUGAUCGGCCACACUGGAACUGAGACACGGUCCAGACUCCUACGGGAGGCAGCAGUAGGGAAUCUUCCGCAAUGGGCGAAAGCCUGACGGAGCAACGCCGCGUGAGUGAUGAAGGUCUUCGGAUCGUAAAACUCUGUUAUUAGGGAAGAACAAAUGUGUAAGUAACUAUGCACGUCUUGACGGUACCUAAACAGAAAGCCACGGCUAACUACGUG